RNAcentral lists this ribosomal RNA (468 nucleotides) under uncultured bacterium. RNAcentral describes it as "partial 16S ribosomal RNA". It matches the Rfam family "Bacterial small subunit ribosomal RNA", at positions 28 to 507 of the family's 1533-position model. The record is from RNAcentral.
GAUGAACGCUGGCGGCGUGCUUAACACAUGCAAGUCGAACGGUGAAGGCGGAGCUUGCUCUGCUGGAUCAGUGGCGAACGGGUGAGUAACACGUGAGCAAUCUGCCCCUGACUCUGGGAUAAGCACUGGAAACGGCGUCUAAUACUGGAUACGAGCUGCGAAGGCAUCUUCAGCAGCUGGAAAGAACUUCGGUCAGGGAUGAGCUCGCGGCCUAUCAGCUUGUUGGUGAGGUAACGGCUCACCAAGGCGUCGACGGGUAGCCGGCCUGAGAGGGUGACCGGCCACACUGGGACUGAGACACGGCCCAGACUCCUACGGGAGGCAGCAGUGGGGAAUAUUGCACAAUGGGCGAAAGCCUGAUGCAGCAACGCCGCGUGAGGGACGACGGCCUUCGGGUUGUAAACCUCUUUUAGCAGGGAAGAAGCGAAAGUGACGGUACCUGCAGAAAAAGCGCCGGCUAACUACGUG